This 568-nucleotide unclassified non-coding RNA is filed under the name Hevea brasiliensis (rubber tree). Lineage: Eukaryota; Viridiplantae; Streptophyta; Magnoliopsida; Malpighiales; Euphorbiaceae. The record is from RNAcentral.
GAGAAAAUUGAAGAAGGGUUGUGGAUUGAGUAGGCGAUUGGGAAUGGUGGGGCUGCGAGUUUUGGAAUUGAGAGACAUGGCAGCAAAAAGGGAAGAACAGAGAAGAGAGAGAGCAUUCAGAAGGGAGAAAAACGAGGCUGAAAGAGAAGAAAAGAUGAAGAACACAGAGUUCAAGAAGGAGAAAGUAAUGAAUGAAAAAGAAGAGCAAUUGGAUAAGAGAGAGGUGGAGAUUGAAGAAAGAGAGCUGCAAUGGAGGCAAAGGGAAUUUGAGAACAGGAUGAGAAUGGAGAAGGAAUUUGAGGAGGAGAGAAGAAAGAGGAUGAGAAUGGAAGAGAAAAUGGAGGAAGAAGAGAUGGAAUGGAGAGAAAGAAUAGUGGAAAUGCAAAUUGAACAUGAGAAACAGAUGAUGCAAAUGCAAGCAGAAGCAUUUCAGAAUCAAAUGCAGAUUUUAGGGGUAAUUGCAAGGCUUCUUUGCCAAUAUUUUGGGUCUGCAAAUGAUGGUUUAGGCGGUGGAUUAGGGGCUUUGCCGCCUCAAGUUCUUCAGAAUUUACAACAUCCCGGUGAAUUG